CAGGAUAAAGCCCCAAGUGCCCGCCACUGAAGGAUGGGAUCCUGGCAUGUUUUAAUGUCAUCUGGGGAAUCCAGUGAGGAUGACAAUUCUGAGCAGCAGAAAACCUUUCCAGAGGAAUUCCAAAUCUCUCACGUCCCAGAUCAUUAAGCUAUGUGACAAAAUAGUCCUUGUACUGAAGAGUGGUUGAGUAGCACAAGAAUGGUGGUUUUUUUUGUGCUAACUUUUUCUAAACCACUACUUUGGAAAUGUUUGGAGGAACAAAAUACAGGAGAAAUUCUAGGCAGAACAAUUUGUGGUUCAAAACACCUAGAAAACAGUUUAAAACAAAGUAGGAAGACAUGCAAGGAAGAAAUGCAGUAAACAAUGAGCCAUCAACAAAGCACUGGCUCAGGGUGUGAAAGAGAAUUGCAGAGUUCCAGUCAGAAACAACAGAAGGAAGGACAUAAAAGAAGACAGUAGAAAGAGAAAGCAAGAAUAAAUAUAAGUAAAAUAAUAUUGAAAACACAUUCAGUCACUGAGAGGAUUUUUACUGCAUUCACUGUUUGCUAUGGGGAUCAUUCUGUGUAUUUCAGUACCAGAGAGCAGGAGCUGCAAGGCUUGGCCUGGAUUUUCAGGAUGCUUCCAAGAAAAGCAGUAAAUACACCCCUGGGUCUGCCUGUACCUCAGUUAAUGGCCAUAAUCGACAGCAGUUCCAGCCUGACACCCUGCUGUGCACAAAAGGAGCUGACCCUUUAACCAUCAACACUAAAGCACAAAGCUCAUGUAGCAGCAAGGGGAGGAAAGUUUAAAUUGUCAGCGAGAUGAAGUGCAGCCCAACCUGUCCGUGUAGCACUGGGUCAGGCAGGAUGAAAUUCACAUCCCUUGCAGGGAACUGUGCCUCAGAAUCUACUGUUUAGCAGCACUAAAUUUAUAUUAAAACAUAUAAUCAAAGUGACAGAAAAAUAACUGAAUAAAUAAAUAAAAUAAUAUUUUUCAGCAUGGUUCUCUUGGACAACAGGACUUGUGAAAGAUGUUUUAGCUGUGUGAUUUAUUCCUGGAUAAUUAUGAUUGACACCUAUGG
Long non-coding RNA from Zonotrichia leucophrys gambelii, 1060 nucleotides. RefSeq lists it as uncharacterized. The transcript is spliced from 3 exons. The record is from RefSeq and is a predicted model, not a curated record. Lineage: Eukaryota; Metazoa; Chordata; Aves; Passeriformes; Passerellidae.